Molecule: ribosomal RNA, 468 nt
Filed under: uncultured bacterium
Lineage: Bacteria
Description: partial 16S ribosomal RNA
Rfam family: Bacterial small subunit ribosomal RNA
Source: RNAcentral
GACGAACGCUGGCGGCGUGCUUAACACAUGCAAGUCGAACGGAAAGGCCCUGCUUUUGUGGGGUGCUCGAGUGGCGAACGGGUGAGUAACACGUGAGUAACCUGCCCUUGACUUUGGGAUAACUUCAGGAAACUGGGGCUAAUACCGGAUAGGAGCUCCUGCUGCAUGGUGGGGGUUGGAAAGUUUCGGCGGUUGGGGGUGGACUCGCGGCUUAUCAGCUUGUUGGUGGGGUAGUGGCUUACCAAGGCUUUGACGGGUAGCCGGGCUGCGAGGGUGACCGGCCACAUUGGGACGGAGAUACGGCCCAGACUCCUACGGGAGGCAGCAGUGGGGAAUAGUGCACAAUGGGCUGAAGCCUGAUGCAGCAACGCCGCGUGCGGGAUGACGGCCUUCGGGUUGUAAACCGCUGUCGCCUGUGACGAAGCGUGAGUGACGGUAAUGGGUAAAGAAGCACCGGCUAACUACGUG